AUUUAAAUAGUUUAAGAUAAAAUAUUGAUUUGUGGUGUCAAUGAUAUGAAAUAUUCAUUUUAGAUC
Molecule: transfer RNA, 66 nt
Filed under: Simulium maculatum
Lineage: Eukaryota; Metazoa; Arthropoda; Insecta; Diptera; Simuliidae
Description: tRNA-His
Source: RNAcentral